RNAcentral lists this ribosomal RNA (429 nucleotides) under Acidobacteriota bacterium. RNAcentral describes it as "Acidobacteria bacterium partial 16S ribosomal RNA". It matches the Rfam family "Bacterial small subunit ribosomal RNA", at positions 355 to 776 of the family's 1533-position model. Lineage: Bacteria; Pseudomonadati; Acidobacteriota. The record is from RNAcentral.
UGGGGAAUUUUGGACAAUGGGGGAAACCCUGAUCCAGCCAUCCCGCGUGUGCGAUGAAGGCCUUCGGGUUGUAAAGCACUUUUGGCAGGAAAGAAACGUCAUGGGCUAAUACCCCGUGAAACUGACGGUACCUGCAGAAUAAGCACCGGCUAACUACGUGCCAGCAGCCGCGGUAAUACGUAGGGUGCAAGCGUUAAUCGGAAUUACUGGGCGUAAAGCGUGCGCAGGCGGUUCGGAAAGAAAGAUGUGAAAUCCCAGAGCUCAACUUUGGAACUGCAUUUUUAACUACCGGGCUAGGGUGUGUCAGAGGGAGGUGGAAUUCCGCGUGUAGCAGUGAAAUGCGUAGAUAUGCGGAGGAACACCGAUGGCGAAGGCAGCCUCCUGGGAUAACACUGACGCUCAUGCACGAAAGCGUGGGGAGCAAACAGG